AAAUUGAAGAGUUUGAUCAUGGCUCAGAUUGAACGCUGGCGGCAGGCCUAACACAUGCAAGUCGAACGGUAGCACAGAGAGCUUGCUCUCGGGUGACGAGUGGCGGACGGGUGAGUAAUGUCUGGGAAACUGCCUGAUGGAGGGGGAUAACUACUGGAAACGGUGGCUAAUACCGCAUAACGUCGCAAGACCAAAGAGGGGGACCUUCGGGCCUCUUGCCAUCAGAUGUGCCCAGAUGGGAUUAGCUUGUUGGUGAGGUAACGGCUCACCAAGGCGACGAUCCCUAGCUGGUCUGAGAGGAUGACCAGCCACACUGGAACUGAGACACGGUCCAGACUCCUACGGGAGGCAGCAGUGGGGAAUAUUGCACAAUGGGCGCAAGCCUGAUGCAGCCAUGCCGCGUGUAUGAAGAAGGCCUUCGGGUUGUAAAGUACUUUCAGCGGGGAGGAAGGUGUUGUGGUUAAUAACCACAGCAAUUGACGUUACCCGCAGAAGAAGCACCGGCUAACUCCGUGCCAGCAGCCGCGGUAAUACGGAGGGUGCAAGCGUUAAUCGGAAUUACUGGGCGUAAAGCGCACGCAGGCGGUCUGUCAAGUCGGAUGUGAAAUCCCCGGGCUCAACCUGGGAACUGCAUUCGAAACUGGCAGGCUUGAGUCUUGUAGAG
RNAcentral lists this ribosomal RNA (664 nucleotides) under Salmonella enterica. RNAcentral describes it as "bacterial SSU rRNA". It matches the Rfam family "Bacterial small subunit ribosomal RNA", at positions 1 to 656 of the family's 1533-position model. The record is from RNAcentral. Lineage: Bacteria; Pseudomonadati; Pseudomonadota; Gammaproteobacteria; Enterobacterales; Enterobacteriaceae.